Molecule: non-coding RNA, 27 nt
Filed under: Mus musculus (house mouse)
Lineage: Eukaryota; Metazoa; Chordata; Mammalia; Rodentia; Muridae
Source: RNAcentral
UGACCCGCUCAACAUUCCUACUUUACU